AGGGUUAUUGAGGAGGGUACUUUUUAUAACGUUAGCAUCAUUUUGGUAUUCAAGUAUUAAUAAUUUUGGUAGAGAAGCCAUGUUAUGAGCCAAGUUAGCUGUGGUGAUUUGAGAGGGUUAUUGAGGAGGGUACUUUUUAUAACGUUAGCAUCAUUUUGGUAUUCAAGUAUUAGAGAGCAAGGAAAUUUUGGGAAGCUUAUUACC
This 204-nucleotide long non-coding RNA is filed under the name Nicotiana benthamiana. RNAcentral's name for it is "long non-coding RNA (NBEN_LNC007512)". The record is from RNAcentral. Lineage: Eukaryota; Viridiplantae; Streptophyta; Magnoliopsida; Solanales; Solanaceae.